UGGCUCAGAUUGAACGCUGGCGGCAGGCCUAACACAUGCAAGUCGAGCGGAAACGAGAUAUCUGAACCUUCGGGGAACGAUAUCGGCGUCGAGCGGCGGACGGGUGAGUAAUGCCUGGGAAAUUGCCCUGAUGUGGGGGAUAACCAUUGGAAACGAUGGCUAAUACCGCAUAAUAGCUUCGGCUCAAAGAGGGGGACCUUCGGGCCUCUCGCGUCAGGAUAUGCCCAGGUGGGAUUAGCUAGUUGGUGAGGUAAGGGCUCACCAAGGCGACGAUCCCUAGCUGGUCUGAGAGGAUGAUCAGCCACACUGGAACUGAGACACGGUCCAGACUCCUACGGGAGGCAGCAGUGGGGAAUAUUGCACAAUGGGCGCAAG
This 375-nucleotide ribosomal RNA is filed under the name Vibrio sp. RNAcentral describes it as "bacterial SSU rRNA". It matches the Rfam family "Bacterial small subunit ribosomal RNA", at positions 20 to 381 of the family's 1533-position model. The record is from RNAcentral. Lineage: Bacteria; Pseudomonadati; Pseudomonadota; Gammaproteobacteria; Vibrionales; Vibrionaceae.